This is a long non-coding RNA of Octopus sinensis (East Asian common octopus), 396 nucleotides long. RefSeq lists it as uncharacterized. The record is from RefSeq and is a predicted model, not a curated record. The transcript has 3 exons. Lineage: Eukaryota; Metazoa; Mollusca; Cephalopoda; Octopoda; Octopodidae.
GUUACAAAAAGUAUGAUAACGGCUUGUCCUUCUUGUUAGAAUCCUUUGCAUCAAAGUGAAACUUCAAGCGUGAAGGUUUCAUUGCUUCGUUGGUCAAUAGUUCUGAGGAGAGGGAAUAAAUCCGAACGAUAAAUAAUCACUACUGUACUGUCAACAAAUUUUCUUGACUGGAGUCCUCAGUAAAGUGAAAAUGUGAAGACGAAUUUCUACAGACGGCGUCAGAAAGACAGUAUGGUAUUCCCAAAGAGAAGAAGAAUAGAGCAGAGUCAGAUGACAAAGACUCAUCGCACGAGGGGGUACCUAAAAUAAACCAGAAUUUGCAAUAUUAUCUUAUUUAUUUAGCUUUUACAUGUUUGCGCUUCUAUCGCCUUCAAAGUAUUCUCCGUUUGAAGCUGU